Sinocyclocheilus rhinocerous is the source of this 216-nucleotide long non-coding RNA. RefSeq lists it as uncharacterized. The record is from RefSeq and is a predicted model, not a curated record. NCBI's taxonomy places the organism in Eukaryota, Metazoa, Chordata, Actinopteri, Cypriniformes, Cyprinidae. The transcript is spliced from 3 exons.
CUACCCUUGUUUUACAUUUUGCUGAUCUCUGCUGCUGGAUCUCUUUGGAUUGUAUUUGCAGUUGUGAUGUGCUGCAGGAAAUGUAGAAAAACAGUCAACACCCAGGAGGAAGGCAGAAUGGAUGCAGCAUUGUGUAAACCAACAACAAGAAAAAUGAAAUCAAAGACUGAUACUGUGUAUGAAAAUGUCCCCAAAACACGAUGAUCAGAUGCACUG